UAGGGAAUAUUGGACAAUGGGCGCAAGCCUGAUCCAGCCAUGCCGCGUGCAGGAUGAAGGUCCUAUGGAUUGUAAACUGCUUUUGUACGGGAUAAAUAAGUCCUUGCGAGGACUGAUGAUAGUACCGUAAGAAUAAGCACCGGCUAACUCCGUGCCAGCAGCCGCGGUAAGACGGAGGGUGCAAGCGUUAUCCGGAUUCACUGGGUUUAAAGGGUACGUAGGCGGUCUUGUAAGUCAAUGGUGAAAUCUAGCAGCUCAACUGCUAACGUGCCAUUGAUACUGCUAGACUUGAGUAUAGUCGAGGUGGGCGGAAUUCUACAUGUAGCGGUGAAAUGCAUAGAUAUGUAGAGGAACACCAAUAGCGAAGGCAGCUCACUAGGCUAUUACUGACGCUGAGGUACGAAAGCGUGGGGAGCAAACAGGAUUAGAUACCCCCGUAGUCC
RNAcentral lists this ribosomal RNA (443 nucleotides) under uncultured prokaryote. Its description in RNAcentral is "bacterial SSU rRNA". It matches the Rfam family "Bacterial small subunit ribosomal RNA", at positions 355 to 796 of the family's 1533-position model. The record is from RNAcentral.